CGAACAGGGACUAGGCUAGUUUAGUAGUUUAAUAAUUUUUUUGGUAUUGUCACUUCUUCAAUUUUACUGUUCGUAAUCACAUCUGUAGUAAAAACGGUCGAGAAUAUGAUUAGUGUUUCUGCGGAGCGGUGGAAUGCUGCUAUGAAUCUGAUUUCCCACUUAACAGCUGAAGCAAAUAGUCUUCGAGAGCAAAUUACCCGAUUAAGUUCUCCGGGGAUCUCACCAGCCACCGGAAGUUAUCAGUCGUUCACACAGGAACAACGUAAUCCAGAAGCUCCUGUCUUCCCACCUAGGCCGGAAACGUCGUCAAUCUCCCGGCCA
Molecule: long non-coding RNA, 321 nt
Filed under: Androctonus crassicauda
Lineage: Eukaryota; Metazoa; Arthropoda; Arachnida; Scorpiones; Buthidae
Source: RNAcentral